GAUGAACGCUGGCGGCGUGCCUAAUACAUGCAAGUCGAGCGAACAGGCGAGGAGCUUGCUCCUCUGACGUUAGCGGCGGACGGGUGAGUAACACGUGGAUAACCUACCUAUAAGACUGGGAUAACUUCGGGAAACCGGAGCUAAUACCGGAUAAUAUAUUGAACCGCAUGGUUCAAUAGUGAAAGACGGUUUUGCUGUCACUUAUAGAUGGAUCCGCGCCGCAUUAGCUAGUUGGUAAGGUAACGGCUUACCAAGGCAACGAUGCGUAGCCGACCUGAGAGGGUGAUCGGCCACACUGGAACUGAGACACGGUCCAGACUCCUACGGGAGGCAGCAGUAGGGAAUCUUCCGCAAUGGGCGAAAGCCUGACGGAGCAACGCCGCGUGAGUGAUGAAGGUCUUCGGAUCGGAAAACUCUGUUAUUAGGGAAGAACAAAUGUGUAAGUAACUAUGCACGUAUUGACGGUACCUAAUCAGAAAGCCACGGCUAACUACGUG
RNAcentral lists this ribosomal RNA (497 nucleotides) under uncultured bacterium. Its description in RNAcentral is "partial 16S ribosomal RNA". It matches the Rfam family "Bacterial small subunit ribosomal RNA", at positions 28 to 507 of the family's 1533-position model. The record is from RNAcentral.